Molecule: ribosomal RNA, 429 nt
Filed under: Chloroflexota bacterium
Lineage: Bacteria; Bacillati; Chloroflexota
Description: Chloroflexi bacterium partial 16S ribosomal RNA
Rfam family: Bacterial small subunit ribosomal RNA
Source: RNAcentral
UGGGGAAUAUUGCACAAUGGGCGCAAGCCUGAUGCAGCCAUGCCGCGUGUGUGAAGAAGGCCUUCGGGUUGUAAAGCACUUUCAGCGGGGAGGAAGGCGGUGAGGUUAAUAACCUCACCGAUUGACGUUACCCGCAGAAGAAGCACCGGCUAACUCCGUGCCAGCAGCCGCGGUAAUACGGAGGGCGCAAGCGUUAAUCGGAAUUACUGGGCGUAAAGCGCACGCAGGCGGUCUGUCAAGUCGGAUGUGAAAUCCCCGGGCUCAACCUGGGAACUGCAUUCGAAACUGGCAGGCUAGAGUCUUGUAGAGGGGGGUAGAAUUCCAGGUGUAGCGGUGAAAUGCGUAGAGAUCUGGAGGAAUACCGGUGGCGAAGGCGGCCCCCUGGACAAAGACUGACGCUCAGGUGCGAAAGCGUGGGGAGCAAACAGG